Mus musculus (house mouse) is the source of this 1386-nucleotide long non-coding RNA. RefSeq annotates it as predicted gene, 34263. The transcript has 3 exons. Lineage: Eukaryota; Metazoa; Chordata; Mammalia; Rodentia; Muridae. The record is from RefSeq and is a predicted model, not a curated record.
CCCACUGACUUCUCCCCGCUACCCUUCGGGCCAUUGGUUGAGAUGCUGCUCACAUUCUGAGAGCAAUGGGAAUGGACUGGGGUGUCGGGGAGGGGGUCUGAGGGGUGUUGGUGGAAGCAAAAGUAUUCUCACAAAGGCACAGGUACUCAUGUGGCAGGGCCCACCCAUCACACACUCAUUGCCAGCCACAGGAGCCAUCUGCUGAGUGGGUAUUGAGUGCAAAGCAAGUACACAACCAGGAGACACAUUCUUAAAAAGCAUGGCCCUCAGGAACCUUGGUCUCUUCAGUGGCUCCAGCUCUUGUGACAGAGCUCUAUCGGUUUAGGGGCAUGGAAGGGUGGCUUAAACCCAACAGAGGACCACAGCUCUGCAUCAGCAUUCUGCUUCUUACAGGUAUGCUCUACUCCAAGGAAGUCUCAGCACCCCCAUCAUUUAAGGCUGCAUCCCACUAAUUCAGUCACUGGACAAAGAGAAAGAAUUGGAGGAGGGCUAGACUACACUGGCUGCUCUAUCUGCCUCGGCUUCAGUAAUGGGGAAGAGUAUAGCAGAACCCCAGAGACCAAUUUUCCACUUCCAUUUACCAAGCCAAAUAGGAAGGCUGUGUCACAAGGAUGCUUGUCUUUCAUGAAAAAGUCUAACCACCACACUAACUACCCUUGAGAAGGCCCUCCUGAGAAAUAAACUGCAUCUUCGUUGAUGACAACUCAUGGUCAAACUUUUGCAAUGUUCCUAACAUUGCGCAUGGAGCAGAGCCACAAAAGUGGUUUUUGAAUAAUUGAACAUGACUGAGUAACUCGUCUAUGAAUGUGGCAAGUGGGACCUCUACUGUGGCAGAAACCCUGAGGCCUGAUGGAUGGGCACAGUUUAUGGUUUGCUAUAAUCAGACCAGUUAGCUCUAUUUGAUCUCUUAAACUUCCAGAAUGCUGUUCAGAGUCACCCUGUGGGACUGUGCACAGCCUGCAGGACUGUAGCCAGAACAGGUCAAUUGCUGCUUUCGAGAUGCAGUGUCCUGGGAGUUGCACCAAGCAAAAGUCUUAAAUGAAGCACCAAGGGUGAUAAAACUUGUGGUGCACUCAGCAGACAGCUUGCCAGAAAUCUGUGUUCAGUCUCGAGGUCUUAUGAGAUAAUUCUGAACAGAAGUGAACAUAACACAGUAGUAACUGAUGACAGCCCUGGACUUCAGAAGGCAGAGCUCAUCCUGGCUCUAGCAUGAACUUUGACCUCUGAACAAAUUCCUUUAUCCAGGCUAAAUUUUCUCACUUUUACUGAAAGAAUCAAGAACUGAUGGUGUUAGAGGGUGAUUCAGGCUCCCAAGGUUUGCAGGCUAGAAUAUUUUGCUUUUGCAUGUGUGUUUUGCACGGUGAUGGCCUGUAUAGGCUCAUAUAU